RNAcentral lists this ribosomal RNA (425 nucleotides) under uncultured bacterium. RNAcentral describes it as "partial 16S ribosomal RNA". It matches the Rfam family "Bacterial small subunit ribosomal RNA", at positions 354 to 796 of the family's 1533-position model. The record is from RNAcentral.
GUGGGGAAUAUUGGGCAAUGGGCGAAAGCCUGACCCAGCAACGCCGCGUGAAGGAAGAAGGUCUUCGGAUCGUAAACUUCUAUCCUUGGUGAAGAUAAUGACGGUAGCCGAGAAGGAAGCCCCGGCUAACUACGUGCCAGCAGCCGCGGUAAUACGUAGGGGGCAAGCGUUGUCCGGGAUGAUUGGGCGUAAAGGGCGCGUAGGCGACCUGGUAAGUCUGGAGUGAAAGUCCUGCUUUUAAGGUGGGAAUUGCUUUGGAUACUGUCGGGCUUGAGUGCAGGAGAGGUAAGUGGAAUUCCCGGUGUAGCGGUGAAAUGCGUAGAGAUCGGGAGGAACACCAGUGGCGAAGGCGACUUACUGGACUGUAACUGACGCUGAGGCGCGAAAGUGUGGGGAGCAAACAGGAUUAGAAACCCCGGUAGUCC